GCGGACGUGGCGAAACCGGUAGACGCAAGGGACUUAAAAUCCCUCGGACGCAAGUCCAUGCGGGUUCGAGUCCCGCCGUCCGCACCA
Molecule: transfer RNA, 87 nt
Filed under: Rhodobiaceae bacterium
Lineage: Bacteria; Pseudomonadati; Pseudomonadota; Alphaproteobacteria; Hyphomicrobiales; Rhodobiaceae
Description: tRNA-Leu
Rfam family: tRNA
About the family: Transfer RNA (tRNA) molecules are approximately 80 nucleotides in length. Their secondary structure includes four short double-helical elements and three loops (D, anti-codon, and T loops).
Source: RNAcentral